RNAcentral lists this ribosomal RNA (172 nucleotides) under uncultured bacterium. RNAcentral describes it as "partial 16S ribosomal RNA". It matches the Rfam family "Bacterial small subunit ribosomal RNA", at positions 1328 to 1500 of the family's 1533-position model. The record is from RNAcentral.
GGAAUUGCUAGUAAUCGCGGAUCAGCAUGCCGCGGUGAAUACGUUCCCGGGCCUUGUACACACCGCCCGUCACACCAUGGGAGCCGGUAAUACCCGAAGUCAGUAGUCCAACCUCGUGAGGACGCUGCCGAAGGUAGGAUUGGCGACUGGGGUGAAGUCGUAACAAGGUAUC